CAGCAGCCGCCGCGGUAAUACAGAGGGUGCGAGCGUUAAUCGGAUUUACUGGGCGUAAAGCGUGCGUAGGCGGCUUCUUAAGUCGGAUGUGAAAUCCCUGAGCUUAACUUAGGAAUUGCAUUCGAUACUGGGAAGCUAGAGUAUGGGAGAGGAUGGUAGAAUUCCAGGUGUAGCGGUGAAAUGCGUAGAGAUCUGGAGGAAUACCGAUGGCGAAGGCAGCCAUCUGGCCUAAUACUGACGCUGAGGUACGAAAGCAUGGGGAGCAAACAGGAUUAGAUACCCCUGUAGUCCCUGUCUCUUAUAA
RNAcentral lists this ribosomal RNA (304 nucleotides) under uncultured bacterium. Its description in RNAcentral is "partial 16S ribosomal RNA". It matches the Rfam family "Bacterial small subunit ribosomal RNA", at positions 506 to 809 of the family's 1533-position model. The record is from RNAcentral.